This 366-nucleotide unclassified non-coding RNA is filed under the name fungal sp. RNAcentral describes it as "partial internal transcribed spacer region". The stretch from base 1 to 46 matches the Rfam family "Eukaryotic small subunit ribosomal RNA", at positions 1786 to 1831 of the family's 1831-position model. Lineage: Eukaryota; Fungi. The record is from RNAcentral.
AAGUCGUAACAAGGUAUCCGUAGGUGAACCUGCGGAUGGAUCAUUAACACAUCCUAAACCGGUUCUUCCUUUGGCUCUCUUCUCUUUUGCGGAGAGUGAAGGGUUGGACUUCAAACCCAAACUAUGCGAACUCGUCAACGUGGGGAGGGGAUUCAUUCCUUCUUCUCGUUCGUUUUUUCCUUCUCUAUCUCACUUUUUUAAUUUUACUUUCAACACAUUUCCUUCAUUGGAAUGGCGAAUAACUAAAUGAGACUAAGAAAACAAGACAUGUUGAAACCUUUCCUAUCCUAUUGGGGGAGGGAUUGGCAUGUCAAAAAAAACAAAAAACAAAAAAUACAACUCUUAACAACGGAUAUCUUGGCUCUC